UUUGGAUUUAACCGAAGAUGAUUUCGAUUUUCUGACGAGUAACAAAGUUUGGAUUGCUACUGACCGCUCUCGUGCUCGUCGCUGCGUUGAGGCUUGCGUUUAUGGUACGCUGGACUUUGUAGGAUACCCUCGCUUUCCUGCUCCUGUUGAGUUUAUUGCUGCCGUCAUUGCUUAUUAUGUUCAUCCCGUCAACAUUCAAACGGCCUGUCUCAUCAUGGAAGGCGCUGAAUUUACGGAAAACAUUAUUAAUGGCGUCGAGCGUCCGGUUAAAGCCGCUGAAUUGUUCGCGUUUACCUUGCGUGUACGCGCAGGAAACACUGACGUUCUUACUGACGCAGAAGAAAACGUGCGUCAAAAAUUACGUGCAGAAGGAGUGAUGUAAU
This 383-nucleotide ribosomal RNA is filed under the name uncultured prokaryote. Its description in RNAcentral is "partial 16S ribosomal RNA". The record is from RNAcentral.